UCAGGAUGAACGCUGGCGGCGUGCCUAAUACAUGCAAGUCGAACGAGUUCUGAUUAUUGAAAGGUGCUUGCAUCUCGAUUUUAAUUUUGAACGAGUGGCGGACGGGUGAGUAACACGUGGGUAACCUGCCCUUAAGUGGGGGAUAACAUUUGGAAACAGAUGCUAAUACCGCAUAAAUCCAAGAACCGCAUGGUUCUUGGCUGAAAGAUGGCGUAAGCUAUCGCUUUUGGAUGGACCCGCGGCGUAUUAGCUAGUUGGUGAGGUAACGGCUCACCAAGGCAAUGAUACGUAGCCGAACUGAGAGGUUGAUCGGCCACAUUGGGACUGAGACACGGCCCAAACUCCUACGGGAGGCAGCAGUAGGGAAUCUUCCACAAUGGACGCAAGUCUGAUGGAGCAACGCCGCGUGAGUGAAGAAGGCUUUCGGGUCGUAAAACUCUGUUGUUGGAGAAGAAUGGUCGGCAGAGUAACUGUUGUCGGCGUGACGGUAUCCAACCAGAAAGCCACGGCUAACUACGUGCCAGCAGCCGCGGUAAUACGUAGGUGGCAAGCGUUAUCCGGAUUUAUUGGGCGCAAAGCGAGCGCAGGCGGUUUUUUAAGUCUGAUGUGAAAGCCCUCGGCUUAACCGAGGAAGUGCAUCGGAAACUGGGAAACUUGAGUGCAGAAGAGGACAGUGGAACUCCAUGUGUAGCGGUGAAAUGCGUAGAUAUAUGGAAGAACACCAGUGGCGAAGGCGGCUGUCUGGUCUGUAACUGACGCUGAGGCUCGAAAGCAUGGGUAGCGAACAGGAUUAGAUACCCUGGUAGUCCAUGCCGUAAACGAUGAAUGCUAGGUGUUGGAGGGUUUCCGCCCUUCAGUGCCGCAGCUAACGCAUUAAGCAUUCCGCCUGGGGAGUACGACCGCAAGGUUGAAACUCAAAGGAAUUGACGGGGGCCCGCACAAGCGGUGGAGCAUGUGGUUUAAUUCGAAGCAACGCGAAGAACCUUACCAGGUCUUGACAUCUUUUGAUCACCUGAGAGAUCAGGUUUCCCCUUCGGGGGCAAAAUGACAGGUGGUGCAUGGUUGUCGUCAGCUCGUGUCGUGAGAUGUUGGGUUAAGUCCCGCAACGAGCGCAACCCUUAUGACUAGUUGCCAGCAUUUAGUUGGGCACUCUAGUAAGACUGCCGGUGACAAACCGGAGGAAGGUGGGGAUGACGUCAAAUCAUCAUGCCCCUUAUGACCUGGGCUACACACGUGCUACAAUGGAUGGUACAACGAGUUGCGAGACCGCGAGGUCAAGCUAAUCUCUUAAAGCCAUUCUCAGUUCGGACUGUAGGCUGCAACUCGCCUACACGAAGUCGGAAUCGCUAGUAAUCGCGGAUCAGCACGCCGCGGUGAAUACAUUCCCGGGCCUUGUACACACCGCCCGUCACACCAUGAGAGUUUGUAACACCCGAAGCCGGUGGCGUAACCCUUUUAGGGAGCGAGCCGUCUAAGGUGGGACAAAUGAUUAGGGUGAAG
Molecule: ribosomal RNA, 1500 nt
Filed under: uncultured organism
Description: SSU rRNA
Rfam family: Bacterial small subunit ribosomal RNA
Source: RNAcentral